This is a long non-coding RNA of Piliocolobus tephrosceles (Ugandan red Colobus), 2936 nucleotides long. Lineage: Eukaryota; Metazoa; Chordata; Mammalia; Primates; Cercopithecidae. The record is from Ensembl.
AGGAGGACUCGCCAAUGAAUUAUCAUAAUAAUUAUGAUAAUAAUAUGAAUACUACUACAGACAAUAACAGCCAGUACGACAACGACCAGUACAAUAACGAUCAAUAUAAUAGCGAACAGUACAAUAACGACGGGUACAAUAACAACAGAAAUAACAACGACAAAUAUAAUAACAAAUACAAUAACAACUAUAAUAACAAGUACCAUAAUAACUAUAAUAACAAGCACAAUAAUGAAAGAGGUAGUGGUAGCAAAUAUAAUGGAGAUAGAUACAAUGUAGAUAGGUGCAGUGACGAUAGAUACAACGGCGAUAGGUAUACUAACAAUAAGUACAACAAUAACAAACACAACAACAAGCACAAUAUUGAAAGGCACAAUAUUGAAAGGCAAAAUAACGACAGACAAAACAUCGACAGGUACAAUGUUGACAGGCAAAAUAAUAACAGACAAAAUAACGACAGACAAAACAACGACAGGCAAAAUAAUGAACGGCAAAAUAACAACAGGUACAACAAUAAUAGAUAUAAUAGCAAACAUAACAACAAGUAUUAUAAUGAGAAAUAUUAUAACGAUAAAUAUAAAACCGAUCGGUAUAAUAAUGACAAUUACAAUAGUAACAAGUACAAUAGCGAUAGAUAUAAUAAUCAUAAUGACAAGAAGAAUAUGCCUUAUGGUUCUGAAACAAACUAUACUGGAAUGCUUGAGCACACACACAAACGAGUCCGUAUGAACCUAUACGAAGAGAACGUUAACACGGGCUACACAGAGAACCGAAAUUCGAAUGCUUCACAGUUUGAUAAACUAAUAAAAUUAUAUGAAGAAAAUAAAAAUGUAAAUACUCCACACCCAUAUAAUAAUGAUAAUAAAGAAAUAGAGACACUAAUACACAAAUUAAUACAAAGUAUGACCAAUAAGAAAGAACGUAGGGUAAAAUUAUUUUUAUGUGAACAGCUCAAAAAAUGUGCACCACAUGUUUUUAAUAAAGCUACAUCAAAUUUAAGAGUAACGAAUAUUAAUCAAAUAAACAUGUACAGAGACACAAACAACAACUAUAACCGUAACCAACAAAAUGAACAAAGCACAUUGUCGCUUGACCUAAAUAGAAACGAUACAUAUACAGAUAGUACGAAUAACUUUAUGAGUUGGAAUGAAAAUAUAGCAAUAAAGAAUAAUUCAAAUAUGCCCAAAAGUAAUACUACUAUCAAUAUGUCUGGUGCAAAUGGUCUUACUACUAUUGCUCAUGAUUUUACUCCUACAUAUGACACUACUAGUAGUAUACGUAAUCCUAUUCCAGCUCGCGAUCAAGCUUCAUUAAAUGAUUAUAUUCCACAGGAUAACAAUGAUUCUCAAGACGACCCUAUUAUACAGUUCCCCGGUAUUCCUAUGCAUAAACCUGUCUCCGUGGAAGAUUCUAUUUCUGCUUUUAAUUCUAUUAUUGCACAUGAUCGUAUGUUGAGUGCCACACGUAACGCUGCGUUGGAUCCUAAUCUUAUACUCCAACACAUUCCUUCACAUAUUCUAAAUGAUGCGUAUAAAUACAUUCCUCCGCAUAAUCCAAAUACAACUGUGUAUGACUCUACAUCCACUCCACAUGAUUCUGCUAUAACUCCGCUUAGCCCCAUCAAUACUAUCAACCCUAACACUGUUACAACGCAUGCUUCUUCUUUUAAUCAAACAAAUGAAACAAUUUGGAUGGGUACACUAGAAAUGCGCAAUAAAGAAAGUCUUAAAAUUAACGCAUAUGCUUUAAAUGGAUUAAAUAAACGUGAAUUUUUAAAUAGUAACAUGAAAAAUAUUACUAUAGGUCAUAGAAGAAGAUUGAAGGAAUUACCAACAGGAGAACAAACUUACUAUUUUGAAAUGAAAGAAACAAAAGAUGUCGAAAUUUAUAAUUCUUAUAAAAAUUAUUUUACUUCGAAAGGUUGUGUAGGUUUAGCUUCAACAGAACAGGAUUGGCAUAUGUAUAUAGUAUUUCCUGGUAAUUCUAUGUUUAAUGAAAUUUGGUACAGUAACAUAAGCGAUAUGAAUGAUUAUAAUCGCAUCACCCAUUUCAAUAAAAAUAUAGAUAACAUUUUUAUUGGUGUGGUUUAUUAUAAUUCGCAUGUAUCUGAUAUAAAUACAGCAGCAUUAGGAUCAAAUAAUAUAGAUGAUGGAGUAAAAAAUAAUUUUGAUAAAGGAAAUUUUAUUAGUUCUAACGGUACCAAUAAUGGUGUCGCAAUGGAUAGACAUAAUAUGAACACAGAAUAUACGAAUAUUGGUGAUAGGUAUACCAACACUAUAAACAAUAAUAGAAUGGACAAAAAUAAUAAUAUGUUUAUAAACACGAAUAUUAAUAGUAGUAAUAUUGAUAGUAGUAAUAGUAAUAGUAAUAAUAAUAAUAAUAAUAAUAAUAAUAAUAAUAAUAAUAAUGAAAACACAUUUUUAAAUAUACAAAUCAAAAAGGCAGAGUCAGAAUAUAUAAAACAGAAUAGACACAGUAAUAUUAUUACUAAUAAUUUCAAUAAUCCUAAUGAAAAAUUUUUAAGAUGGGAAUCUAAUACUACUGUUUCUGAUGCUACUACUAGUACUAGUAGCAUUAAUAUGAGCACAAAACAUGAUCAAAACAAUUAUUUAUCAAAUAAUAAUAACCAAGCAAUAGUACAACAAACAAAUGACCGAUUAAACAAUUGUAAUGUAUUAUAUGAAAAUGAACAAAAUCAAUUUACAGAAAAUAAAAAUGACGAAAAUCAAUUUACAGAAAAUAAAAAUGACGAAAAUCAACUAAUAAAAAAUAAAAAUGAAUUACCUGGCUGGCUUAAUCAAUUUAGUUCAUUAGCAGCUUAUCUUAGUAAAAAAUAGUUUCUAAACGGUUUAAAAAAAAAAAAAAAAAAAAAAAAAAAAAAAAAUAGAACUUAAUUAAAAUUCGAAACUUAUUCCAUUUUUUGUUGUCUAUCGAGU